RNAcentral lists this ribosomal RNA (255 nucleotides) under uncultured bacterium. RNAcentral describes it as "partial 16S ribosomal RNA". It matches the Rfam family "Bacterial small subunit ribosomal RNA", at positions 524 to 776 of the family's 1533-position model. The record is from RNAcentral.
UACGGAGGGUGCAAGCGUUAUCCGGAUUCACUGGGUUUAAAGGGUGCGUAGGUGGGUCUGUAAGUCAGUGGUGAAAUCUCCAGGCUUAACCUGGAAACUGCCAUUGAUACUAUAGGUCUUGAAUUAUCUGGAGGUCAGCGGAAUAUGUCAUGUGAGCGGUAGAAAUGCUUAGAUAUGACAUAGAACACCGAUUGCGAAGGCAGCUGGCUACAGGUAUAUUGACACUGAGGCACGAAAGCGUGGGGAUCAAACAGG